Molecule: ribosomal RNA, 490 nt
Filed under: uncultured bacterium
Lineage: Bacteria
Description: partial 16S ribosomal RNA
Rfam family: Bacterial small subunit ribosomal RNA
Source: RNAcentral
GAUGAACGCUAGCUACAGGCUUAACACAUGCAAGUCGCGGGGCAGCAUGGGGGUUGCUUGCAAUCCCCGAUGGCGACCGGCGCACGGGUGAGUAACGCGUAUCCAACCUGCCCUUCACCACGGGAUAACCCGGCGAAAGUCGGACUAAUACCGUAUGUUGUCCAUUGACGGCAUCCGAUUUGGACGAAAGGUUUGGCGGUGAAGGAUGGGGAUGCGUCCGAUUAGCUGGACGGCGGGGUGACGGCCCACCGUGGCGACGAUCGGUAGGGGUUCUGAGAGGAAGGUCCCCCACACUGGAACUGAGACACGGUCCAGACUCCUACGGGAGGCAGCAGUGAGGAAUAUUGAUCAAUGGGCGUAAGCCUGAACCAGCCAAGUAGCGUGCAGGAUGACGGCCCUAUGGGUUGUAAACUGCUUUUAUGCGGGGAUAAAGUGGCCCACGUGUGGGUUUUUGCAGGUACCGCAUGAACAAGGACCGGCUAAUUCCGUG